GGGGAUGUGGCUCAGUGGGUAGGGUGCUCGCCUAGCAUGUGUGAAGCCCUGGGUUCGAGCCCCGGCAUCUUCA
RNAcentral lists this transfer RNA (73 nucleotides) under Mus musculus (house mouse). It matches the Rfam family "tRNA". Rfam says of the family: Transfer RNA (tRNA) molecules are approximately 80 nucleotides in length. Their secondary structure includes four short double-helical elements and three loops (D, anti-codon, and T loops). Further hydrogen bonds mediate the characteristic L-shaped molecular structure. tRNAs have two regions of fundamental functional importance: the anti-codon, which is responsible for specific mRNA codon recognition, and the 3' end, to which the tRNAs corresponding amino acid is attached (by aminoacyl-tRNA synthetases). tRNAs cope with the degeneracy of the genetic code in two manners: having more than one tRNA (with a specific anti-codon) for a particular amino acid; and 'wobble' base-pairing, i.e. permitting non-standard base-pairing at the 3rd anti-codon position. The record is from Rfam by way of RNAcentral. Lineage: Eukaryota; Metazoa; Chordata; Mammalia; Rodentia; Muridae. RNAcentral also lists the same sequence under 1 other name.